This 977-nucleotide long non-coding RNA is filed under the name Mus musculus (house mouse). RNAcentral describes it as "long non-coding RNA chr2:91870677-91871654". Lineage: Eukaryota; Metazoa; Chordata; Mammalia; Rodentia; Muridae. The record is from RNAcentral.
ACUUAUAUAUAAUAAAUAAAUAAAUCUUUAAAAAAAAAAAAGAAAUCAUUUAGCCGUCAAGAUUUGCUUCUAAGGCUGAAUGCCACCUCUAUCCAUGGCUCAGUCCAUUAACUAACUGGCUCUGGCACAUUGCCUGCACCUUGAGCCAAAGCUGCUAAGUGGUGGGUGGGUUUUUUGGGUUUGUUUUUUUAAACAGGACAAUGCUUUUUCUUCCUGAUGUUUCCAAGAGACAGGCGCAGUUGGCCAGCAGCUCUCGUGCAAGAGAGCCUGGUGACGAUACUUGAAUCUGUUGCUGGCAUCUUUCACUCCCUAAUCUGUGUUUACACGGCACUGAAAAUUGACUCUCUGAUGCCAAGCUCUGUUUCUGUGCAGUACUCCUGCACGGUUGGCAGAGAUCCCCUCCCUAGUCUCUUCACAGUACCACCCUACACGUGUAUUUAUUGCACAGCUGUUUUCAGAAGCGUACGCUGUACAGGAUGUCUCUGGAGUUGGGGCUAGAGCUGAAAUCAUUUUGUUCCCAGUUACAAAGCCAGCAUGUGCAUUUCUGAACCUUUUCCCUGGUUGUAGAUUUAAUCUUCUGCUUGAGAAAAUAGUUGUUUCUUUAAUCUCUCUUAGCAACUAACAUUUAGUUCAUCAUACGUGAAGAAAGCCAAUUUACUUCUUUGUGUUUGGGGUUAGAGAUAUGCUUUUCUAGUAAGUUAGAAGAAAUGGUAAGGAGCUAAAGCAGUCUGAGACUGGCUGUUAAAGGAGAUGUCAGUGAUCUAGAUAAUAGAAGUGAAAGCCUGGGGAAUAAUUUGGAAGCUCAGUGGAAUGAAGCCUCUAUCAAAAUGAAAAGUGAUUCCUUCCAGGGAAGUGGUAGAUCUUCUAACUAAAAUGGUUUGCAUUAUUAAUGAGGCCAAGAAAAUCUGAGCCUGAUUCUUUUUAAGAAAUUUUUGGGCUGGAGAAUGGCUCAGCAAGGCUAGGCUGACAACCAAAAA